GUGACAGCAACUGUUACAAAUUACAUUCAAAGGUCUUUAUUGGAUUUCCUGUUUAUUCUACACUGUUCUGAAUGCAAACUUAAUGAAGAACAUGCUCCAUGCUUCCUUCUACUACUUUCUUGUAUGGAUAACUUUUCUUUAAGCACCACAUUUCACUUCGAGCUAGAACCGUUGCAACAUGUUAACAACCAUAGAUGACUAAAGUUAUUUAUCUACAGAAAAGAUAUAUCCAGAGGCUAUGGAAAAUACUACAAAUCAUUUUACAUAUAAUAAACUGAUGCAGUGUCUUCAUAUAAGUGGUUGCCUUAAUUGCUAAUAGCCAAAAGUGUAGGUGACAGCUGCAAGAGUACAGUUGACUUUCAAAGAGUGAGUUCUACAGAAAGUGGAAGAGAUUGUUUACUAGCAGUUUCCAUUUGUAAAUAGUUGAAACUUUAACUGCAGAAUGUGAUCAAAAACAUUACUUCCUGAAGUAAAUCGAUAAUAACUAACAAAUUGGAUGAAUUGUAGACUUCAUCCUGAUACUUAGAGACUAUACUAUUUUCAGGUGUUGUGAUAUUAUUACUAGAAAAACGAGGAUUCAGUAGUACCCAUGAAUCUAUUGUUGCCUCCUAGAUGAUACUUAGAGAUAGUAUAACACACCUGAGUGCCAGGUGCAGUGAAAAUACUGGAAAAUCGAAAAUAUAAAUUUUCAUUGAUUGAAACUAAAAGUAAUUCUUCUUGCAGGAGGAUUCAGUAACACCCAUGAAUAUAUUGUUGCUUCAUAUAUGUUCCUUAGACAUAGUUUAACAAUUGUGAGUGGAAGCUGCAGUGAAAAUACUGGAAAAUCAAAAAAGUUAACUUUGAUUAAAACCCCAGAAAUAGAAUAAAAGUAUUUCUUCCUUCAGGAGGACAAGGGAGACUCAUGAAUCUAUUGUUAGCUCCCAGACAAUCCUUAGAGAUAGGAUAACAUAUCUCAGUACCAGAUGCAGUGAAUAUUUGGGAAAAUCAGUAAAAUGAAUUUUGUUCUUAACCGAAGGCACAGGCUAAAAGCGUUUUCUCUUGUAUGAGGAGUCACCAUC
This is a long non-coding RNA of Nicrophorus vespilloides, 1058 nucleotides long. RefSeq lists it as uncharacterized. NCBI's taxonomy places the organism in Eukaryota, Metazoa, Arthropoda, Insecta, Coleoptera, Silphidae. The record is from RefSeq and is a predicted model, not a curated record. The transcript is spliced from 3 exons.